UACGUAGGCAGCGAGCGUUGUUCGGAGUUACUGGGCGUAAAGAGCGCGCAGGCGGUCGUUCAAGUCGAGUGUGAAAGCCCCCGGCUCAACUGGGGAGGGUCACGCGAUACUGAUCGACUCGAAGGCAGGAGAGGGUAGUGGAAUUCCCGGUGUAGUGGUGAAAUGCGUAGAUAUCGGGAGGAACACCAGUGGCGAAGGCGACUACCUGGCCUGUUCUUGACGCUGAGGCGCGAAAGCUAGGGGAGCAAACGGGG
This 254-nucleotide ribosomal RNA is filed under the name uncultured bacterium. RNAcentral describes it as "partial 16S ribosomal RNA". It matches the Rfam family "Bacterial small subunit ribosomal RNA", at positions 524 to 777 of the family's 1533-position model. The record is from RNAcentral.